Sphaerobolus stellatus SS14 is the source of this 100-nucleotide non-coding RNA. The record is from the annotation of a GenBank genome assembly. NCBI's taxonomy places the organism in Eukaryota, Fungi, Basidiomycota, Agaricomycetes, Geastrales, Sphaerobolaceae.
GCUUUGCUAGCUUAAUCGGUAGAGCGUGAGAAUUUUACACCCGAAGCAAGUUUGUCGAAAUAUAAUUUCAAGGUUGCGGGCUCGAUCCUCGCGUGAGACU